This 270-nucleotide ribosomal RNA is filed under the name uncultured bacterium. Its description in RNAcentral is "partial 16S ribosomal RNA". It matches the Rfam family "Bacterial small subunit ribosomal RNA", at positions 793 to 1055 of the family's 1533-position model. The record is from RNAcentral.
GUCCUGGCCCUAAACGAUGUCGACUAGAUCGUGGUAGCUCUGACGCUUUCACGGUCGAAGCAAAAGUGCUAAGUCGACCGCCUGGGAAGUACGGUCGCAAGGCUAAAAACUCAAAGGAAUUGACGGGGGCUCACACAAGCGGUGGAGCAUGUGGUUCAAUUCGAAGCAACGCGCAGAACCUUACCUGGGCUUGACAUGCCAGGAUUAUCCCCAUGAAAGUGGGGUAGGCCCUUCGGGGUACAACUGGUACAGGUGCUGCAUGGCUGUCGU